Molecule: ribosomal RNA, 580 nt
Filed under: uncultured beta proteobacterium
Lineage: Bacteria; Pseudomonadati; Pseudomonadota; Betaproteobacteria
Description: bacterial SSU rRNA
Rfam family: Bacterial small subunit ribosomal RNA
Source: RNAcentral
GGGAGGCAGCAGUGGGGAAUUUUGGACAAUGGGCGCAAGCCUGAUCCAGCAAUGCCGCGUGCGGGAAGAAGGCCUUCGGGUUGUAAACCGCUUUUGGUAGGAACGAAAAGCUCUGGGCUAAUACCCUGGGGUGAUGACGGUACCUGCAGAAUAAGCACCAGCUAACUACGUGCCAGCAGCCGCGGUAAUACGUAGGGUGCGAGCGUUAAUCGGAAUUACUGGGCGUAAAGCGUGCGCAGGCGGUUGUGCAAGACAGGCGUGAAAUCCCCGGGCUUAACCUGGGAAUGGCGCUUGUGACUGCACGACUGGAGUGCGGCAGAGGGGGAUGGAAUUCCGCGUGUAGCAGUGAAAUGCGUAGAUAUGCGGAGGAACACCGAUGGCGAAGGCAGUCCCCUGGGCCUGCACUGACGCUCAUGCACGAAAGCGUGGGGAGCAAACAGGAUUAGAUACCCUGGUAGUCCACGCCCUAAACGAUGUCGACUGGUUGUUGGGCCUUGAGUGGCUCAGUAACGAAGCUAACGCGUGAAGUCGACCGCCUGGGGAGUACGGCCGCAAGGUUGACACUCAAAUGAAUUGACGG